This 393-nucleotide ribosomal RNA is filed under the name uncultured bacterium. RNAcentral describes it as "partial 16S ribosomal RNA". It matches the Rfam family "Bacterial small subunit ribosomal RNA", at positions 331 to 721 of the family's 1533-position model. The record is from RNAcentral.
CCAGACUCCUACGGGAGGCAGCAGUGAGGAAUAUUGGUCAAUGGGCGGAAGCCUGAACCAGCCAAGUCGCGUGAGGGAAUAAGGCCCUACGGGUCGUAAACCUCUUUUGCCGGGGAGCAAGGGCGGGGACGUGUCCCGGCCCGGAGAGUACCCGGAGAAAAAGCAUCGGCUAACUCCGUGCCAGCAGCCGCGGUAAUACGGAGGAUGCGAGCGUUAUCCGGAUUUAUUGGGUUUAAAGGGUGCGUAGGCGGGUUUUUAAGGCAGCGGUAAAAUGUCCGGGCUCAACCCGGGCCGGCCGUUGAAACUGGCUGUCUUGAGAUGUCGAGAGGUAUGCGGAAUGCGCAGUGUAGCGGUGAAAUGCUUAGAUAUUGCGCAGAACUCCGAUUGUGAAGG